RNAcentral lists this ribosomal RNA (216 nucleotides) under Glomeromycotina sp. Its description in RNAcentral is "partial small subunit ribosomal RNA". The stretch from base 40 to 216 matches the Rfam family "Eukaryotic small subunit ribosomal RNA", at positions 686 to 864 of the family's 1831-position model. The record is from RNAcentral. Lineage: Eukaryota; Fungi; Glomeromycota.
GGGUCAGUAGGUUGGUCGUGCCACCGGUACGUACUGGUCUCACUGAUUCCUCCUUCCUGAAGAACCGUAAUGCCAUUAAUUUGGUGUUGCGGGGAAACAGGACUGUUACUUUGAAAAAAUUAGAGUGUUUAAAGCAAACUAACGCUUGAAUACAUUAGCAUGGAAUAAUGAAAUAGGACGAUCGAUCCUAUUUUGUUGGUUUCUAGGAUUGACGUU